CCCUUAGAUGUUCUGGGCUGCACGCGCGCUACACUGAUGCGCUCAACGAGUUUACGACCUUGCCCGGAAGGGUUGGGUAAUCUUUUUAAAACGCAUCGUGAUGGGGAUAGAUUAUUGCAAUUAUUAAUCUUUAACGAGGAAUGCAUAGUAGGCGCAAGUCAUCAGCUUGCGUCGAUUACGUCCCUGCCCUUUGUACACACCGCCCGUCGCUCCUACCGAUUGGGUGUGCUGGUGAAAUGUUCGGAUUGGGAAUAGGAGACGGCAACGUAUCCUGUUUCUGAGAAAAUCUUUAAACCCUCCCAUUUAGAGGAAGGAGAAGUCGUAACA
RNAcentral lists this ribosomal RNA (327 nucleotides) under uncultured eukaryote. RNAcentral describes it as "partial 18S ribosomal RNA". It matches the Rfam family "Eukaryotic small subunit ribosomal RNA", at positions 1470 to 1796 of the family's 1831-position model. The record is from RNAcentral.